RNAcentral lists this ribosomal RNA (520 nucleotides) under uncultured Glomus. RNAcentral describes it as "SSU rRNA". It matches the Rfam family "Eukaryotic small subunit ribosomal RNA", at positions 569 to 1093 of the family's 1831-position model. Lineage: Eukaryota; Fungi; Glomeromycota; Glomeromycetes; Glomerales; Glomeraceae. The record is from RNAcentral.
AGCAGCCGCGGUAAUUCCAGCUCCAAUAGCGUAUAUUAAAGUUGUUGCAGUUAAAAAGCUCGUAGUUGAAUUUCGGGGUUAGUAGGCUGGUCGUGCCACUGGUACGUACCGGUCUCACUGAUUCCUCCUUCCUGAUGAACCGUAAUGCCAUUAAUUUGGUGUUGCGGGGAGACUGGACUGUUACUUUGAAAAAAUUAGAGUGUUUAAAGCAAGCUAACGCUUGAAUACAUUAGCAUGGAAUAAUGAAAUAGGACGUUCGAUCCUAUUUUGUUGGUUUCUAGGAUUGACGUAAUGAUUAAUAGGGAUAGUUGGGGGCAUUAGUAUUCAAUUGUCAGAGGUGAAAUUCUUGGAUUUAUUGAAGACUAACUACUGCGAAAGCAUUUGCCAAGGAUGUUUUCAUUAAUCAAGAACGAAAGUUAGGGGAUCGAAGACGAUCAGAUACCGUCGUAGUCUUAACCAUAAACUAUGCCGACUAGGGAUCGGAUGAUGUUAAUUUAAUGACUCAUUCGGCGCCUUACGG